UACGUAGGGGGCAAGCGUUGUCCGGAAUUAUUGGGCGUAAAGAGCGUGUAGGCGGCCAGAUAAGUCCGCUGUGAAAUCUCGAGGCUCAACUUCGAGCUGUCGGUGGAAACUAUCUGGCUAGAGUCCGGAAGAGGAGAGUGGAAUUCCUGGUGUAGCGGUGAAAUGCGCAGAUAUCAGGAAGAACACCUAUGGCGAAGGCAGCUCUCUGGGACGGUACUGACGCUGAGACGCGAAAGCGUGGGGAGCGAACAGG
This 253-nucleotide ribosomal RNA is filed under the name uncultured bacterium. RNAcentral's name for it is "partial 16S ribosomal RNA". It matches the Rfam family "Bacterial small subunit ribosomal RNA", at positions 524 to 776 of the family's 1533-position model. The record is from RNAcentral.